CCUACGGGAGGCAGCAGUGGGGAAUAUUGGGCAAUGGAGGCAACUCUGACCCAGCAACGCCGCGUGAAUGAAGAAGGUCUUAGGAUUGUAAAGUUCUUUAAUUGGUGACGAAACAAAUGACGGUAGCCAAAGAAUAAGCCACGACUAACUACGUGCCAGCAGUCGCGGUAAU
This 172-nucleotide ribosomal RNA is filed under the name uncultured Banisveld landfill bacterium BVA68. RNAcentral describes it as "partial 16S ribosomal RNA". It matches the Rfam family "Bacterial small subunit ribosomal RNA", at positions 338 to 524 of the family's 1533-position model. The record is from RNAcentral.